Molecule: ribosomal RNA, 497 nt
Filed under: uncultured bacterium
Lineage: Bacteria
Description: partial 16S ribosomal RNA
Rfam family: Bacterial small subunit ribosomal RNA
Source: RNAcentral
GAUGAACGCUGGCGGCGUGCCUAAUACAUGCAAGUCGAGCGAACGGACGAGAAGCUUGCUUCUCUGAUGUUAGCGGCGGACGGGUGAGUAACACGUGGAUAACCUACCUAUAAGACUGGGAUAACUUCGGGAAACCGUAGCUAAUACCGGAUAAUAUUGUGAACCGCAUGGUUCAAAAGUGAAAGACGGUCUUGCUGUCACUUAUAGAUGGAUCCGCGCUGCAUUAGCUAGUUGGUAAGGUAACGGCUUACCAAGGCAACGAUGCAUAGCCGACCUGAGAGGGUGAUCGGCCACACUGGAACUGAGACACGGCCCAGACUCCUACGGGAGGCAGCAGUAGGGAAUCUUCCGCAAUGGGCGAAAGCCUGACGGAGCAACGCCGCGUGAGUGAUGAAGGUCUUCGGAUCGUAAAACUCUGUUAUUAGGGAAGAACAUAUGUGUAAGUAACUGUGCACAUCUUGACGGUACCUAAUCAGAAAGCCACGGCUAACUACGUG